RNAcentral lists this transfer RNA (72 nucleotides) under Camelus bactrianus (Bactrian camel). It matches the Rfam family "tRNA". Rfam says of the family: Transfer RNA (tRNA) molecules are approximately 80 nucleotides in length. Their secondary structure includes four short double-helical elements and three loops (D, anti-codon, and T loops). Further hydrogen bonds mediate the characteristic L-shaped molecular structure. tRNAs have two regions of fundamental functional importance: the anti-codon, which is responsible for specific mRNA codon recognition, and the 3' end, to which the tRNAs corresponding amino acid is attached (by aminoacyl-tRNA synthetases). tRNAs cope with the degeneracy of the genetic code in two manners: having more than one tRNA (with a specific anti-codon) for a particular amino acid; and 'wobble' base-pairing, i.e. permitting non-standard base-pairing at the 3rd anti-codon position. Lineage: Eukaryota; Metazoa; Chordata; Mammalia; Artiodactyla; Camelidae. The record is from Rfam by way of RNAcentral. RNAcentral also lists the same sequence under 3 other names.
GAGGGUAUAGCUCAGUGAUAGAGUGCCUGUCUAGCGAGAAUAAGGUCCUAGGUUCAAUCCCCAGUACCUCCA